UGGGACCUGCGUUUUGGACCGUUAGAUUGGAAUUAUAAAUUACACCCGACCAUAUUGUAUGAAUGACCUAGUAGAGCGAUAAACUUAAAGGACUAAGUUCUUAAUGAGUUAAGUGUUUUUACUUAACCCUAAUCGUCGUUUUAUGUGAAAACCCUAAUCAUGUUUGGGCUUCGAGUUAGUCCUUUCUUUUGGUCAUAGGUGUUUGGAUUCUUGUUGGGCCAUCUGAGAACAAGUGUAUGGACUAGGACAUUUAGAUGAACUUUAGGUUAAGGCCAAUGUUAGGGGUUUGGGCCUAAUUUGGAAAAUUAGGCUAUAUUUGGGUCUUGGUUGAUUAUUUGGCUUUUGGGCCUCCAGGGUUUGAGUAUGGGCCUUGGUCUUGGACCAAGCUAGGUUAGGGGUAAAAUAGUAUUUUACCCAAAGUAUGGGUUUCUGUUUAUGCUUUGGCACCCAAUUGUUAAUUGGGUGUUGUUUUGAUGAUUGAUAGUUUGGGGAUCUAUUAGCCUGCAGCCAGGGUUUGUCUGUGUGAUUGGGCAAUGUGAGGUGACUCUUCUCACUGUAUCCAUGGGUCGAAGGCACUAAUGUCGGCCCAUUACUUGUUAUGUGGAGUGCUAGUUGUUUCUGUGAUACUUGCAUGAAAGACCAUGGGGGAGUCCAUAACAUUUGUAUAUAAGAUCAUGGGGGUGCCCAUGACAUUUGAAUAUAAGACCAUAAGGGGUGCCUAUGGUAUUUUGGUAUAAGACCAUGGGGAGCCCAUGGCAUUCCUGGUAAAUACCACAGGGGGAGUAUAUGGCAACUAUGUGUAUGUUGCAUGAUAUACUGUUGAUGAUAUUUUGUGGAGGAUAUUAUAUGGUUGUAUGCUAUGUGGUAUUUUGGGAAACUCACUAAGCUUUGUGCUUACAGUUUUCAGUUAAUGUUUCAGGUACUCUGGUUUUCAAAUGGAAGGGCUUGGGAUGAUUUCAGAGAAAACACCACAUGUUUCCGCCUUCGGUGAACUACUAUGAUUUGUCAAUGUUUUUCUAAAACUUAAUUACUCUUAUUUUUUGGGAAAUACAUGUAUUAACGAUUUAUUAAUUUAAAAACAAAAAAAAAUUAUAUUAUGAUUUUUAGGGUGUUUCAAGUUGGUAUCAAAGCCUUGGUUUGAGGGAUUCAGACAUACUCUCGGGUGUGUCUGAACUCAAACUGAGGAAUUGGUAAAGUUUUCAAAAAGAAAAGUAUUUUAAGAAAAGAGUUUUUAAGAUAAGAGAAGGUGUGGUGCAUGCAAUCAACCGAGCUCAAGUAAGUUUUCCCAAAAUACCAAUAUGUGUUAUUUGAUAUGACUUGAUUUAUGAACCUGUGAAUCGCAUGCUAUUUAGGUCUAAGGAUCUGCCCAGUUUUUGCAUGAUAGAAUGCUUGGAGAGAUACAUUUGUAUGUAUAUCGUAGGAGUUGGUAGACUUGCAUGCUAGUGCUGAUUAGUUAGUGGUAAUUGAUCUGAUAUGUGAUACCUUGUUGCAUUAGGAGUAGUGGAUGCUAUUUUGAGAUGGGAAUAUCUAUUGGAAUCAUUAAUUGCUAAGUGUAUGCUUUAAAAAUUGUAUACAGUUAGGAUGUGAUAGCCCUAGAAUAAUUGAUUUGGUCUUAUUUCCUGUUCCUUGUUUGGUUGUGGUUUUUGGGUGGAGUCUGUUAUUCGAUAGUCUAUUUGAUCCUCUUUUGUGUAUAAUUUGCAUGCAUAAGGCAACCGAUAGUAGGGGUGGAAUUUCUAGCAUAAGUGUUGGUGUGUAGGGUGAAUGUUCUAUGACAGUUCUAUAGAUUGGAGUGUUACUGCACGAAUGUUGCUUGCUUUGUGCUUUGUGGAACUCUUUGAUGAUAUGAGUCAGCUACUAAGUGAAUAGGAAGGUAUUCAUGAGGUGGAUGAUUGGCAUUAUGAAGAGUUCUUUAGCAGCUGAUGGCAGAGUGAGGUUGGGGUUCUAGGUGAGCCUAGGGAGUGUUGCAGUGGUUGUAGUUGCAUUGUUUAGUGAGCUUUAGUGCAUCAGUUUGAGAAUGUGACUUAGAAGAUUCGGGAUGAUUCUUGAGGAAAGUAUGGAUAUGUGUGGAAGGUAGUAUUGGGCCAGUACUACUGAAAGCACAGGAUCCAUACUGGAAUCGGGGAGAGUCUUGGAGAAUCUAAGUAGGUUGGGGAAAAGGAUUCUUGAGUAUGUUUUGAUCUUUUGCAUGAUUGUAUUUUAGUUUGGUUAUGGUUCAGGUUUUGGUUCUAGUUUUGGUUCUGGUUUGGGUUCUGGCUCAGGUGCAGAUGCUGAGCCGAUUAGUGAGUGGUUGUGGGAGUUCAUCUCAUCGGAGAUUUCUCGUUGUAUUUCUGAUAUAUUGGAUGAGCGCUUGGGCGUGUUCCAUGCUUGUGGAGCUCCUGCAUUCCAUGGGGAGAGGGACCCUGUUGUCAGUAGGGGAGGUUAGUAGAUAUGGCUAACGCAUUCAGGAUGAGUUUUUUCCCCGAGGAGGCGAAGAUCAUAUAUGCCUCCUACCUUUUGAAGGACAGUGCACAAGAUUAGUGGGAAGAGUUUAGUAGUGAGUUGGUUGAUGAUAUCAUUGAUGUUAUGUCAUGGGAUGACUUCUCGACUAGGUUCCAGUAGAGAGUAGCCAGUUAUUUCAGUGUAGGUCUGGGAGAGGCCAGUGCUCCAGCAGGUGAUAUUGCGGGUAUGUUGUCUUUUGCUUUUCUUUGGUUUGCUAUUAGUUUUCUUGUUGAUGGGAUUUUGUAUUAAUUUGGGUAAGCAUUAUCUUCGGGUUAUUGCUCUGUUAUCAUUGGGUUAUAUCUUCGGGAAUUGUUUCAUGUCUUUUGCAUGCCAUAAACCAUUAGUUAUUCAUUGAGGGGUUGUAUAUCGUGUAGCGAGUUCCAAUGUGUUCAGCUGCUAUUCGGGUUUUUGGUCAGAAUCGGUUUGGGGGUAUUGUGUAGAAGGCAUGUAGUCAAGAUGCAGUAGGUCAGUUCUCCGGUAAUCAUCAUGGUUCAGUGGUUUUAGUAUUCGUUCCGGUACGAGCGAUAGUUGCCUAUAGAAGAGUUGUUGGGUACGAACACUACCGUUGCUAAGUGAGGUACGGUAGCAGGAAGAUGGUGGUGUCGGUUGCAUGAGUUGUUUGGUUAUUGGUAAUGUUAGGGGAGUUUUAUAUUCUCUCAGUUGUAGUUGAGUAGGAAUCAAUAAUUCUUUGAGAAUGGAAGUUGGGAUAAUAUUCGUUGGUUCAGGGCAAGGGUUAUAGUUUUAGUCACCAGCAUAAGAGCUUAGGAAUGGUCUCAUUGCAGGUAAUCUGACUCCAUAUCAGAAGGUUGCGUGUUCGAUUCAUGACAGGUAGAUUACCCUUUAGGAUUUCAGGAUUUGGGUGAUUAUGGAGUUGGGUAAUAAUGAAACGCUAGUAUUGUUUAGCGCAGGGCAUGGUUAGUCCAUUAUGUUUGAUGGAGAUGGGUCGGAGAUGUAUAAGGAUUAAGAGGUAAGAGACCUUCGUUGAGUCCAAGUGGGGGAGAAUUAAAUGGUUGUUCAGAUUGAGGUUGUGUUGGUGGAAGAUCAGGAAACUUCCAACCGUAAUUUCGCAUCUCUAUUGUGACCCGAACUCCAUAAUAGUCGCAGGAUUCGACUCAACUUGCAUGGUGUUCUGAUGAUUUGAUCUUGGUAAGGCUAUGGGUGGUAAUCAUGGUUGGUUGGAAGUGUUGUAAGACCGCAAUGGGAUUGUAGCAUUCACCAGUUCGAAGUAAGCUAUCAUUGGUAGUGGACAUGGGUGUAAAGGGGGAAUCAGUUCGUACCUUGGGCACGCCAGUCCGGAUUGUUAAGGAAUAUUUCUUUGAUAUAGGUUAAGGACCAUUAGGGUCCGAGUUAGAGUUGGGCAUAUGUAGCCCUAGAUGGGUGGGACUCAUUGGCAAGGCCUGUGUGAUUUUGGAAAUUCAGGUUGGACCUGGUAGAGACCGUUGGGUCGAGGUUUUGGAUCUUGAGUUGCAGGAUCAUGUGGUUGUUUAGUGUGUAGCGAAGAGGGGUUAUUAGGUUGGGUAGUCUUGUUGUUGGACUCUUGGGAGCCUGGUGGUUGGAUCGGGGUACCAAUAUGUCGAGGGCAUCGAUCGAAGGGUUCAAGGGUAAUGAAUGGAUUCAGUUUUGGAUGGUAGGUUAGCUCUCGUGAUUGUGUCUCAGAUUGGUUCUUUUAGCAAGACCAUCAAGAUAUGUCAGGUCGAUAAUAUUGACUUGGAACUCGAGGGUGGAAUAGCUUGUUAUUCGAAGGAGAAGUAGGUCACUUUCAGUUGGGAUUAGAUAAUCUCAUAGUAAAUGAUUUGACCCUUUUGUGAUGCUCUCACUUGAUACUAACCAUUACAGGGAUAAGUCUCAUACUCGAAGGAUUAUCUGAGCCUCCUGUCAAGUAUAAGUGUUAUGCAGAGAUAUUUGGUUCGUGAUUCUGUUAUCUAGUGAGAACCUCAAGUUAUCAGAAGUAGAGUAGUAAAUUGGGAGAUCAGUGGACUGGAUUCAAAAAUAAUGAUUCAGUAUGGGCGGCCUGUUAGGGAGUCAAGUCAUCUCGAGACUUCAGAUUUCAGAUUGAGUAAAUGUGAUCAUGUUGUAAGGAAUUCGUUCAUCUUCGGGUUGUACAGCCCUACGAGGGUUGGUUUUGGUUGCCGUGGGAAGGCUGGGGUAUGCUUGGGGUCAUGACCGUGUUACUCAAGUUGUUGACGUGUCGGGAAUGGUAAGGAAUGAUUUCGAGGAUAAAAUGUAAUUUAAGUGAGAAAAAUUUGUAACACCCCGCUUUAAAAAUAAACCCUAAACUCGGGAACGUUAUUUAAGUGUUUUUUAUUCCGAUAAAUGAAAUUUAAAAAAAGGGUUUUAGCGAGGAAGUAUGUAUUUGGCGUUAUAAUUUGUCUUGGAGGUCUAAUGGGUACUUUCGGGGUUUGUGGUGUAAAGAAUAACUGAGCAUGUGGCUAAAGAAAAAUUAUUUGUAAUUGUUUUGUAGCUUUUGGGCUUAAAUUGAAAAGGCUUUGGAAGUUGGGCUAAAUGGUAAUUUAUGGAUUUAUUUUGGAAAAGAUUAGAGAAGGGGGGACCAAUCGUGUCAAAAAUGAAAUGAAUUUAUAUCGGAGAUGGGUCUAAACCCGUCACUAGCCUUCCCUCCCAUUUUUUAAGUAAGAUGGAACCCUAACCCUAACCUUAGCUGCAUCCUUCAGCCGCCACCAUCUUUUUUAGAGUCUUCUCAGCCGCCACCUUUGGGGCCGUUGCUGCCGCUUUUCGGUGGAGGCACAACCUCCAUUUUCCCCACUGUAACCGUCCUUCCUCCUCCCGUUUCUUCUCUGCAGCAACUAGCUCGUGUAUGCCGCCACCGUCGCUCCUUGUGGAUGCCUUUUGCUGUGCUCCGGUUGCCGCCUGCCACCCGAAGUGAAUAAAUUGGGUGUGUGUUUAGUGAUAACUCUCGUGUUCGUGUCUAUGUGUGUGUUGCUGCUACAACUGAGAAGUGUAUGUGGGUGUUUAUUGGUAGGAAACCGAGAAAAAGAACCAACAUGGCCGCCAACCAAGGUGGCUGCCGCUUUCUACCAUCCUUUGUCACCACCAGCCACCGUGGGAGGAGCUGUGUGUGUGUUUUGGUGUAAUUAUAUGUGUGAAUUAUGGAGUGAUGAUGUAGGAGCAAUCUUGGAAAAUCAAGUAAAAUCCUCCACCACCGCCGUGAGGUGGUGGCUGCCGUCGUGUGUCGCCAUCGACCACCAUUGCCCGAGGUGACAGUGGGUGUGUCCAGCCUAGUGAAACCCCAAUUGACCUAAAAACUUAAUUUUGGACCUUGUGAAUGCUGGGACCCGCAUUUUGGACCGUUGGAUUGGAAUUAUGAAUUACGCCCAACCAUAUUGUAUGAUUGACCUAGUAGAGCGAUGAACUUAAUGGAUUAAGUCCUUAAUGGGUUAUGUGUUUUUACUUAACCCUAAUCGUCAUUUAAUCUGAAAACCCUAAUCAUGUUUGGGCUUCGAAUUGGGUCUUUCUUUUGGGCUUAGGUGUUUGGAUUCUUGUUGGGCCAUCUGAGAACAAGUGUAUGGACUAAGACAUUUGGAUGGGCUUUAGGGUAACGCCAAUUUAAUGGGUUUGUGCCUAAUUUGUAAAAUUGGGUCAUAUUUGGGCCUUGCUUGAUUAUUUUGCUUUUGAGCCUCCAAAGUUUGAGUAUGGGCCUUGGUCUUGUACCAAGCUAGGAUAGGGGUAAAAGAGUCUUUUACCCCAAGUAUGGGUUUCUAUUUAUGCUUUGGCACCCAAUUGUUAAAUGGGUGUUGUUUUGAUGAUUGACAAUUCGGGGAUCUGUCAGCCUGCAGUCGAGGUUCGUGUGUGUGAUUCGGCAGUGUGAGGUGAGUCUUCUUACUAUAUCCAUGGGUCG
This 6331-nucleotide long non-coding RNA is filed under the name Lactuca sativa (garden lettuce). Its description in RNAcentral is "long non-coding RNA (LSAT_LNC002336)". Lineage: Eukaryota; Viridiplantae; Streptophyta; Magnoliopsida; Asterales; Asteraceae. The record is from RNAcentral.